RNAcentral lists this ribosomal RNA (491 nucleotides) under uncultured bacterium. RNAcentral's name for it is "partial 16S ribosomal RNA". It matches the Rfam family "Bacterial small subunit ribosomal RNA", at positions 29 to 506 of the family's 1533-position model. The record is from RNAcentral.
AGUGAACGCUGGCGGUAGGCCUAACACAUGCAAGUCGAACGGCAGCACAGUAAGAGCUUGCUCUUACGGGUGGCGAGUGGCGGACGGGUGAGGAAUACAUCGGAAUCUACUUUUUCGUGGGGGAUAACGUAGGGAAACUUACGCUAAUACCGCAUACGACCUACGGGUGAAAGCAGGGGAUCUUCGGACCUUGCGCGAUUGAAUGAGCCGAGGUCGGAUUAGCUAGUUGGCGGGGUAAAGGCCCACCAAGGCGACGAUCCGUAGCUGGUCUGAGAGGAUGAUCAGCCACACUGGAGCUGAGACACGGUCCAGACUCCGACGGGAGACAGCAGUGGGGAAUAUUGGACAAGGGGCGCAAGCCUGAUCCAGCCAGACCGCGAGGGUGAAGAAGGCCUUCGGGUUGUAAAGCCCUUUUGUUGGGAAAGAAAAGCAGCAGGUUAAUACCCCGCUGUUCUGACGGUACCGAAGGAAUAAGCACGGGCAAACUUCGU